AGAUAAGAAACGCCGGUUACUUAUCAAUAAAAGUGUGAACCAAUUAUUCUUAGGCCUUAGAUAGAAUAAUUGAUUGGCACUUUUUUUG
Molecule: non-coding RNA, 88 nt
Filed under: unclassified sequences
Source: RNAcentral